RNAcentral lists this ribosomal RNA (253 nucleotides) under uncultured bacterium. RNAcentral describes it as "partial 16S ribosomal RNA". It matches the Rfam family "Bacterial small subunit ribosomal RNA", at positions 524 to 777 of the family's 1533-position model. The record is from RNAcentral.
UACGUAGGGGGCAAGCGUUGUCCGGAAUCAUUGGGCGUAAAGAGCGUGUAGGCGGUCCGUUAAGUCGGCUGUGAAAGUCCAAGGCUCAACCUUGGGAUGCCGGUCGAUACUGCCGGACUAGAGUUCGGAAGAGGCGAGUGGAAUUCCCGGUGUAGCGGUGAAAUGCUUAGAUAUCGUCAAGAACACCGAUAGUGAAGACAGCUUACCAGCUUCAACUGACGCUGAGGCACGAAAGUGUGGGGAUCAAACAGGG